RNAcentral lists this ribosomal RNA (346 nucleotides) under uncultured bacterium. RNAcentral describes it as "partial 16S ribosomal RNA". It matches the Rfam family "Bacterial small subunit ribosomal RNA", at positions 338 to 681 of the family's 1533-position model. The record is from RNAcentral.
CCUACGGGAGGCAGCAGUGAGGAAUAUUGGUCAAUGGGCGCGAGCCUGAACCAGCCAAGUAGCGUGAAGGAUGACUGCCCUACGGGUUGUAAACUUCUUUUAUAAAGGAAUAAAGUGAGGCACGUGUGCCUUUUUGUAUGUAAUUUAUGAAUAAGGAUCGGCUAACUCCGGGCCAGCAGCCGCGGUAAUACGGAGGUUCCGAGCGUUAUCCGGAUUUAUUGGGUUGAAAGGGAGCGUAGAUGGGUUGUUAAGUCAGUUGUGCCAGUUUGCGGCUCAACCGGAAAAUUGCCAUUGAUACGGGCAGUCUUGUGUACAGUUGAGUUCGGCGGCCUUCGUGGUGUCGCGG